AAUCAACGCUGGCGGCGUGCCUCAGACAUGCAAGUCGAACGAUUAAACUUUCCUUCGGGGAAGAUAUAGAGUGGCGCACGGGUGAGUAACACGUAAGUAAUCUACCCUUGGGUGGGGAAUAACAUCGGGAAACCGAUGCUAAUACCGCAUAAUGCAGCGGCUUCUUAUGAAGACAGUUGUUAAAGCAUUUAUGUGCCUGAGGAGGAGCUUGCGGCAGAUUAGCAGUUGGUAAGGUAAUGGCUUACCAAGGCGACGAUCUGUAGCCGACCUGAGAGGGCGGUCGGUCACACUGACACUGAAUAACGGGUCAGACUCCUACGGGAGGCAGCAGUCGGGAAUUUUGGGCAAUGGGCGCAAGCCUGACCCAGCAACGCCGCGUGAAGGAUG
Molecule: ribosomal RNA, 387 nt
Filed under: uncultured bacterium
Lineage: Bacteria
Description: bacterial SSU rRNA
Rfam family: Bacterial small subunit ribosomal RNA
Source: RNAcentral